Molecule: unclassified non-coding RNA, 235 nt
Filed under: Hevea brasiliensis (rubber tree)
Lineage: Eukaryota; Viridiplantae; Streptophyta; Magnoliopsida; Malpighiales; Euphorbiaceae
Source: RNAcentral
CCCUCCUUUUUCUCAGUAGCCAAGCGAUACCUCAUUUCGCCUGCUACCCCUCUUAAAUUCUGGAACUAAUUCUUCCGUUAUAACCACCUCCAGCCAUGUGUCCUUCUCUCUUUUGUUCUUUCCAUCAACUAAUUCCGCAUGUGCAGCCUCCAGAGAGAUUCCACUCCCUUUGCCCUGCCCUUUAGCUCUUCUAGAAUAUACCUUAAAAGGCCUUGGGCCCUUUUCAACCUUAUCA